CCGGCCAACCAGGACACGCUGCGUGGCAGGGACACUGACGCAGGGAGCCACGCGGGACGGAGUCGCAUAGGCGAUCCGCGUGCGCGCGAUCGAACGACCCAGCUCUGUUCCCGCGCGCACGGACGACCCGGAUCAAAAGCGCAUGCGGACGGCCCAGAUCUCAUGCGUGCAGACGGCGUAGAUUGAAUCACGCACGGACGGUCCAGAU
RNAcentral lists this long non-coding RNA (208 nucleotides) under Carica papaya (papaya). Its description in RNAcentral is "long non-coding RNA (CPAP_LNC008569)". The record is from RNAcentral. Lineage: Eukaryota; Viridiplantae; Streptophyta; Magnoliopsida; Brassicales; Caricaceae.